Molecule: ribosomal RNA, 439 nt
Filed under: uncultured prokaryote
Description: bacterial SSU rRNA
Rfam family: Bacterial small subunit ribosomal RNA
Source: RNAcentral
CCUACGGGCGUCUGCAGUCGAGGAUAUUUAGCAAUGGGGGAGACCCUGACUAUGUGACGCCGCGUGAGGGAUGAAGGUCUUCGGAUUGUAAACCUCUUUCGACAGGAAAGAAAAACUGCACUAACACUGCAGUCUGACGGUACCUGUAGAAGAAGCCAUGGCACACUCUGUGCCAGCAGCCGCGGUAAUACAGAGAUGGCGAGCGUUACUCGGAUUUAUUGGGUGUAAAGGGCAGGGAGGUGUUUUGCCAAGUUGUAAGUGAAAUCCUAAGGCGCAAACUUAGAACUGCUUACAAAACUGGCGAAAUUGAGAUGGGUAGAGGAAAGCGGAAUUCCCGGUGUAAGGGUGAAAUCUGUAGAUGUCGGGAGGAACACCAGUGGCGAAAGCGGCUUUCUGGACCAAUUCUGACACUAAGCUGCGAAAGCUCGGGGAGCAAACA